UACGUAGGGUGCAAGCGUUAAUCGGAAUUACUGGGCGUAAAGCGUGCGCAGGCGGCGCGUUAAGACAGGUGUGAAAGCCCCGAGCUUAACUUGGGAAUUGCGCUUGUGACUGGCGUGCUGGAGUGUGGCAGAGGGAGGUGGAAUUCCACGUGUAGCAGUGAAAUGCGCAGAUAUCAGGAGGAACACCAAUGGCGAAGGCAGCUCACUGGGACGGUAUUGACGCUGAGACGCGAAAGCGUGGGGAGCAAACAGG
Molecule: ribosomal RNA, 253 nt
Filed under: uncultured bacterium
Lineage: Bacteria
Description: partial 16S ribosomal RNA
Rfam family: Bacterial small subunit ribosomal RNA
Source: RNAcentral